Molecule: long non-coding RNA, 6752 nt
Filed under: Marmota monax (woodchuck)
Lineage: Eukaryota; Metazoa; Chordata; Mammalia; Rodentia; Sciuridae
Source: RNAcentral
CACUAAUAAAGCUGUCUGAUUCUGGAUUUUGCUUUUUGGAGAGGUUUUUGAUUAUUAAUUAAGUGUCUUUGUUCAUUAUUGGUCUUUACACCUGUUCUCUUUUUUUCCUGAUUCAGUCAUGGUAGGUGUAAGGAGACCUUUUACCCAUUAAUCCCUAUCCUCAAAUUCCAGUGCAUAGGCAAAUUUUCAUCUACUUUCUAUCUCUUUCAAUUGACAUAUUCUGAGGAUUUCAUAUAGAUGUAAGCGUACAAAAUAUUUUUGGCAUAAUUUUUUUCACUUUGCAUGAAAAUUUUUAAGACUAUUUUUUAAUAUUUAUUUUUUGUUUUUUUAGAUGGACAUAAUAUCUUUAUUUUAUUUUUAUGUGGUGCAGAGGAUUGAACCCAGUGCCUCACGCAUGCCAGGCGAGCGCGCCGCCACUUGAGCCACAUCCCCAGCCCUUUCAUGAAAUUUUAAGAUGCUUUGGCAUCUCAUAAUUCCUUGCUCAUAAAAUGAGUUUGGAAGUGCUUCCUCAAGGGGGCUGGUCCAGUCAUUCCCUGUCCCUCGGUUCCUUACCAAUGACCACGAUGGCCUCCAAUACCGCAUGAUCUACUCUUAGCUUAGUGCCCUUUGGUGCUGCCAGCCCUGCCUUCCCCAUGAAGGCUUCAACUCCACAAAGAGACUUCAGGUGUGAAGACUGUGGCUGAUAUACUAAAACAUGUACAAUUUACUACUAUUAUAACAUUAUAAUGUUAUAUAUUGUCAUGUUAUUAUAAUUUUUAUAAUAAUAAAGAAUGUACAGACCUGCACAGGAUGAAGAGGAUAGGAAGGAUGAAUAUUUCAUGGGGAGUGCAUUGUUUCAUGAUAAGAAGACUGUGUCUUUCAUAUUCUUAAUGCAUAUUGAAUUCUGCACAUUUUUAGUUUGUUUUGUAUUAUUUUGUUUUUUGGUGCUGAUUUAACCCAGGGGUACUGUACCAAAAGCCAAAUUGCCAGCACAUUUUAUUUGUAAUUCUGAGUUAGGGUCUCACUGAGUUGCUUUUGACCUAGCUACUGUGCUCGGGCUGGUCCUGAACCAACCAUCCUCCUGCCUCAGCCGCUGUAGUUGCUGGGAUCACAGGUGUGCAACACCAAUACAGACAUGCAGUUUACUCCUAAAAAAUGUUACUGUUUUUUGAGUAAAUGCCCUUAACAAUGAAACCCCAGAACUUACUGUUCGUGUGACUGGAAAGGGAUAAAAUUUAAUGAAUGCAGUUUUAUAUAAUUAAAUAUUAUUUUAUUAUAAAAUUAUUUAUCAAUUUAUUAAGAAAUAAAAAAUCCCCACUUUUUGCCCAUGAGAGCAUCAUUGAUGACUGGGCAGAUCACUUAAGGUCCCUGUCAUGAGUCUCUCUGUGGCCCUUUCAGUCUGUCUCACAUUCUCCCACACAGGUGCAUUUAUAUAUGUUUCUGUGGCUGUUUACACCAUAGAAAAAUGGUGACCUCGGUACAGACAUCAUGAAUGCAUCUUUUUUUUCCAGGUAACAGUUUCCUUGACCCCUUUGCUUGUGGGCACAGACAGACCCACCUCAGCAGGUGCACAGCAUGUCUGCAGCAGAUUUUUCCACCAAAAGCCUCCACAUGGAUAUUAGUGAGGACUCCAAUUCCUUGCUGUUCCAACUGUGAUAUGAAGGAGUCUUUCAAACACAUCUUGUAAAAUGCUACAACUCCAUAGUUGGAAUUUAUCCCUGGCAUUAGCCAUUCUAGGCAAAGGUACACACUUCUAGAACUUUGAUGGUUGUUGACAAAGAGUUCUGUGUCCAUGGACGCAUCUCCCAGGGAAUCUACCAGAGUCUCUGCCUCCAAAUUUUCACUAGUUCUGGUCUUCAACCAGUCAGUCUGAAGGAGGCAAAUGCUACCUCAGUAUCAUGUAUUUUGUAUGGGUUCAUUGGGAAGUUGAAUGUCUGUGACAUUUUCUAACCAAUGUGGUGAUUUUGUUUUGAAUUGCAGGAGUUUGUUUUUGUCCUAGAAGGAAAGUUGACUCAGGAGGUUUGGGUAUCCCUAGGAGCAAUAGUCAUUUCCUUUGUGGCAUGUGACACUUAUGUCACAGAAAGGUAGUUCCCCGCCCAGUGUUAUAAAAGCAUUUACUGUGGGGCUUUACUUUUUAUAUAACUUUGACAUAUCUGGUUUUUCCACUUCUAACAAAACAAAAAUGUACCCAAUCCCUCAAUAGUAUGUGGCUAACGGAAAUCUUAGUGCACUGAUGUGAAAAAUUCAGAAUAGGCAUCUCACAGGGACAGAAGGAUGAAUGAUCACCCAGGACCAGAGGAAGGGAAGGGAGAGGGACUGCUUAUGGGUAGAGGAUGAGGAAAUGGCUGUGGACCUAAACAGGGGUGAUGGCUGCCUGACAUUGAAAAUGGACUUCAUGGCACUGAACUAAGCAUUUCAAAGUGAGUAAAAUGUUAAAUUUUAUUUAAAAUUAAUGAUAAAGUGAAAAGAAACUAGUCAAAUAAAAAGGAAAAGGAAUAAAAUGUCAAGGGAGGGGAAGGGUCACUGUGAGAUGGGAGCAGGUUCAAGAUGCAGCUCAGAAACUGGCACUAGCUUCUGGAGGGUCUGCACUAGUUGGCCAGGUCUAGUCCAUCCCCAUAAUCUCAGGCCCCCAUCUUCCUCACCUUCGGGCUCUGCCUCAGUGGUUUCUAGAUACUCCAGCAGGUGUGGGAAUCAGUGGCCUGGCAUGUGGCCCUGGCUGUUCACUGUGCUGCUGGACAGUGAUCCAGACAGGAACCAGGAGGGAUGUGGGUGGGCCACAGCAGGAGAGGCCUCAAAAGUGGCGGCAGCUCCCUGCAUUACGAGAGUUAUCCCAGGAGUAACUGAAAACCAUCUAUUCUAGAGGAGUAGAUGGAAGUUUAUCUUCAGCAAGAGGGUCCUGUAUGAGUCACCCAGGCUGUCAUCACACAGCCCUGAGCGUCUGGAUGAUGGUGGUAACUGUUUCCCUUCUGGAAUGUGGGGCAGCUCAGGGAGGGCAGCUCCUGUCCACUCAGCCUGCGGUGUGUGUUCCUUAUUGGACAGUGUAGCAAGAGUCUCCUGAUGUUUUGGCUCAAUACAGCUAACUGUGUAAUAUUUGGAGAGAAUGUGGCAGGACAGCCAGGCCACUGCCACAUGGACAACUGGCACUGGAGUUAAAAUGAAGUGAAAUAUUUUGUCAGAAUGGAGAGGAAGUGAAGUGAAACGAUGACAAUGUGGCUUUCCAGAGGUUUCCACCAAUAUGUGGACGGUGACCUUGUACUUGGUGAAGGCCAAGGCUGGGCACAGAGUAUGGGGGUGGAUGAUGAGUUGAAGCCUAGUUCCAUAGGGUACAGAAUUGUGGUCCUUCCAUCCCUCAAGACCUGUAGGGAGGUGGCCUUUGGGCUCCAGAUACCCCUCUGUUCUUCUGUGCCCUGCAUGUGGAGUCCCAUUUGUACCCAUUUUCACCCUGAGAUUAAGCUGGUGCCUCCUCCUCACUGAGACAAACUUGCACUCUGCAUCUCCUCAGUGGUAAUCUGCCAUCCCCUCCCCAUGAGUGCUUGAGUGUAGACUGGCUUUAGUGACAUACUUGUAACCUAUAGAGUAUGACAAAUGGCAUGUGGUAUCAUUUCAGCAUGAUUUACUUGACCUUUUGUGCUCUGUCUCUAUUAUUUUCUUCAUUUUUCCCUCUCUGCCUCCCUUGGAUCUCUGGCUCUGGGGAAGCUGCUGUUCUUUCAUGGUGCCCUAAGAGAGGCUUAUGAGUCCUAGGACAGAGUCCUAAGAUAGUGCCUGGCAGCUGGCAGGAAGCCCCCAGCCCUACCUGAAUGUUGUUUAGGUCAUUUUUGCCCCUGGUGAACUCUGUUCCCCACUUCCAAUACAGACCCUCUGUCACACAGGCUUCUAUCCUGGGAGAACAAGAGAUGACACUGGGGGCCCAGGCUUCACCUGUGUACUCCCUUUCCCCACCUGUCAGCUUUGUCCUUGGGUGACCAUGACAGGAUACCAGGCUCACAAUCUCCCACCACCUAUUCCUGCCUCAUGUUGCCCUCACUCAAAAGGAAAGGUGUGGGGCUACUCAGGGGCCUUUACUGUGUGGACUGGCCUGGAUGGACCUGCCCUUGGCUAAUUGGUAUCACCCAUUGGUUCCUCCUCAUAGAUACCCUGAUGUCUAGAGCAGAGUCAGAACCAGCAUAGGACCCUUUGUGGGAAUCUGUCUUUGUGAUCAUCCUGAGUCUGGUCCUUGAGAGGUGGGAUAUAGCCCCCAAUUCAACUCUCAUUCUGGGGCCUCCUGAAUCCACCCAUGACCAUGGGAAGUCAGGAUACAACAGAGCAUGUCACUCCCUUCACUAUAUGUUGGUUUCUUUCUAUGAAAACCCUGAUGUUUCCUGGGUAGCUGCUGAACCAGGGUAGUACUUUGUGCCUUAGGUUGUGGCUUUGAGAUGUCCUGAGGCUGGGUCCUGGGAUAGGGGAAUGUAGCACCAGAGACUGCUUGGCUGUGGGGUAUCCUGAGGCUUUGGCCUUAGAAACUGAGAGGUAACUAACAUCCUUCUGCAUCCCCGAUGUCUGGCUGAGUGAGCUAGGGAGAGGACUGUUGCUGUAAUGUAUGUGCCUGGGUAUUGGAGUUUCUUGAGUUGCUUGGAUCUGUCCCAUUGAAGUGAAGUCAUGUCUUUGGGACCCUAACCUGACUCCCUCUUCUGAUGAGACCACAUACGUCCCUCUGGGCCACUGUCUGCUCUUCUCAGCCCCUGUAUAUUUUUGUAUGCACAUACAGUAUCUCCAUCCUUGGCCCUUGAAUUUCUGUGACAGUCCUGGGUACCUGCAGUGUCUCAGCUCCAAGGAACAUACCUGGAUUAGUUCCACCUUCUCUUCCUGACCUCUCCUGUGACCCUGUUCAAAGCAUCAUAUCUUUAGGGCUUCCCUAGUCUCCCUGCACACUGGUGGUCAUCCUAGCAUCUGUUUCCGAAUGACAUCAUCAGGCAUGUGUGAGAAACAUUGUGGGCUGCUGUCACAUGUAGGUAAUGCACAAAGUUGGAGGUGAAAUAGUGGAAGGUUUUGGAUGUGGCAAAGAAUAUAGCUAAAAAUAAGUCUGGGCUCCUAUGUUGUGACCUUGGAAAUGUUGCUUCCCUUCUUGGCCUUCUCCUGUUUGCAUCAUGAGAAGGUGGAAAUUCAGUUAAUUCAGAUAUCUUCAUGGUCCAUAAGCCUUCUGAAUGCUUCCCAUUAUAGAUUCAGAUCUAAGGACCUCAACUUGGCCUUUGUGGCUGGACCUAGUGCUUAAUAGCUCCCAGUUACCCUCACCCUGGUGUGCACAUCCUAAGCAAUCCCCUCCCUUUGAGUGCUUGAGUGUGGACUGGAUUUAGUUGUUCACUCCUUAGCUAUGGAACAUGACCAAUGGCAUAUGAUGUCACUUCACCAUGAUUUACUUAACAUUUUUGCUCUGUCUCUAUUAUUUUCUUCUCUGCCUCCCUUGGAACUCUGGCUCUGGGGAAGCUGCUGUUCUCUCAUGGUGCCCAAAGAGAGACUUAUGAGUCUUAGGACAAAGAGAGCAACCCAUGAGGAGAUAUUAGGUCUCUGUCCUGAGUCCUUCCAGUAACCAUGGGACUCAGUGUGGAAGCAGAUCUUGCAGUAACUGAACCUCAGGUGAGUCUGUAGACCAGGCCUCCUGAGAGACAUCAGGAGCCUCCAGCUGAGUCCUAAAUUUCUGUUUCAUAGAACUGUGAGACCAUAAAUGUUUGUGUUGCAUCCUUUAAGUUUGGGAUAGCAUUUUCCCAGAGUAGUGUGUCAGUGGUAUAGUCUAGAAGGCCCUAGAAUUUGUCCUUCCAUCCCACUCCUCCUGGGCUUUGUUCAGCCCCACUGGUUGCUCUUGUAACUUCCUUUCUGACUGAACUCACUUUUGACUUUGACUUCCUGAACAGUUGAUCCUUCCCUCUGGCACACUGUGCCCAGGGUUGUGCAGGGCUGCAUCCCUCUCAAGUCUAUGCUUGAGUGAUUUCAAGGCCUCCGUUUUAUGAAGGAGCCAAGGACACAAAGGAGCAGGACACCAGUGUCCAGGGGCAUUAGGAGGGACUGCAGGAGCUGCCCUUUCCCCUGCUUACAAGUCUUUUUCACUAUGGCCACUUCCAGGGUCUUACCCUCCAACAAGGUGGUCCUUGACUUGUCCAAGGAUGAGUGGGUCAGUGCUCUGCUACCUUGUGUCCUUGCCAAGUUUUUGGCUGGCUCUGUAGGACUUCCAGGAGGCUGACAGCAUUUGGCAAGGACCUGUGUGCACCAGGGGCUAGAGGUUGGUGAGCCUUGUGAUCCUUGGAGUGAGCAGCGGCAAACUCCAUGUUAUGUCAGGAAGGACACUGUGGCUUCUCAUAGAUCCCCUCCACAAUAGGCAGGUGUUCCUAGAGAAACAUUCCCAUGCUGGUGGUAGAGGAGCCAGGAACAGGCAUACCCCUUGUUUUCUUUAGGGAUUUCCCAGCCCUGAAAUCCUGCCAUCUCUCCUCCUUCCACACUGUGGAUCCUGGAUAUGCUAACUGGAUAUGGCUAGUCAUGUCCCCUGGAGGUACUGCCUCUAGCAUCUUUCUCCUUUUCCUUUGUUACUUCCCAGGGUCCAUCCCCACUGUUGAAUACCACUUUGGCCCCCAGUUGUGGUGUUAUUUUGUGUAUGUGUGUGUGUGUGUGUGUGUAUGUGUAUGUGUGUGUGUGAGUGUGCACACACAUUUCUUCAUACAUCCUUGGAAUGUUUGCGGUUCUCUUUUUUUAUUUUUUAUUUAUUUUUUUAUGCCUAUUUUUUAAAUUUUAUAAAAAUUGAAUCAUAC